CCCAAGAUGGCCGCCUGUUGUUUACUUGUUUCGCGGCGUCUGAAGCGUCUGUCAGACGGCGUGGAAACGCGCAAAUAAGCGUUUGUAGUAGUCAUUGCAGGUAUUGCAAGGGUUUUUCUUACCAGGUGAAGUCACAGCAACAGUUUUCCGUCAAUUUUGGCGUGUGUGGAGUGUUAAAGUUCAAUUAGAUUCGUGCGAAACUGUCAUCUACCUUGACGGCGGGCACCCAAGCCAACCAAGCCUUUGUUGUCUGUCACUCGAUCGACGAUUUCUGCACAAGAAUAUUAGCUGCCAUGGUUAGCAAUCAGCCGUCAGAAGAGACGGUGAGAAUUGUAGUGACCCCAGACUUUAUGGAUCGGAUACGAAUGCAAAUGGAAAUCAACAACAUGAGGAUAGCAAGACUUCUCGAUGAAGCUGAGCGGAAUGACAGAUUGAUAAAGGAGAAACUGGCAAGUAAAGAUGCUGGCGCAAGACCUCUGGCCAAAAAGAAGCAUAAGAAGAAGACAAUGAAGGCUUAAUUUUGUGCUGUUAUGUGUGUUAUGGCAAGUUAUCUCCCUUGCUUCCAUUCUCUAAACCCUAUUCUUCAUAUCCGUUCCAAUUCAUGGCACUCACUUUUAAAAUGGAUUAAUUUGUUUUGAAUGUCCUAAUUUUCUUCUUGCUACACUCAAAGUGAAAAGAAGAAAGGCUUUGCCAACCGUUAUUGUUUUAUCUUUGCUUUUAAAUGCUUGUUUCUAUUGAAUUUCCUUCUUGGUACACUCAAAGUGAAAAGAAGUGAGACAGUUCAUUUCAUAU
Frankliniella occidentalis (western flower thrips) is the source of this 792-nucleotide long non-coding RNA. RefSeq lists it as uncharacterized. NCBI's taxonomy places the organism in Eukaryota, Metazoa, Arthropoda, Insecta, Thysanoptera, Thripidae. The record is from RefSeq and is a predicted model, not a curated record. The transcript is spliced from 3 exons.